Molecule: ribosomal RNA, 253 nt
Filed under: uncultured bacterium
Lineage: Bacteria
Description: partial 16S ribosomal RNA
Rfam family: Bacterial small subunit ribosomal RNA
Source: RNAcentral
UACGUAGGGUGCGAGCGUUAAUCGGAAUUAUUGGGCGUAAAGCGCGCGUAGGCGGCUUUGCAAGUCGGGUGUGAAAGCCCUCAGCUCAACUGAGGAAGGGCGCCCGAAACUGCAGAGCUUGAGUGCCGGAGAGGGUGGCGGAAUUCCCCAAGUAGAGGUGAAAUGCGUAGAUAUGGGGAGGAACACCGGUGGCGAAGGCGGCCACCUGGACGGUAACUGACGCUGAGGCGCGAAAGCGUGGGUAGCAAACAGG